UACGAAGGGGGCUAGCGUUGCUCGGAAUUACUGGGCGUAAAGCGCACGUAGGCGGCUUGUUAAGUCAGGGGUGAAAUCCUGGAGCUCAACUCCAGAACUGCCUUUGAUACUGGCGAGCUUGAGUUCGGGAGAGGUGAGUGGAACUGCGAGUGUAGAGGUGAAAUUCGUAGAUAUCAGGAGGAACACCUGUGGCGAAAGCGGCUCACUGGACCACAACUGACGCUGAUGCACGAAAGCGUGGGGAUCAAACAGG
This 253-nucleotide ribosomal RNA is filed under the name uncultured bacterium. RNAcentral describes it as "partial 16S ribosomal RNA". It matches the Rfam family "Bacterial small subunit ribosomal RNA", at positions 524 to 776 of the family's 1533-position model. The record is from RNAcentral.